ACAAAAACCAAGCUUUUGUCUCUAUAGACAGGUGGUCCCAAACGGUGGUAACCAAACAGGUUUAACUUUAAUUGUCCAUAUAAGAAAUAUGGAAUAAAAGUAGAUAUAACAACAUUUCAACAAUUAAAGCUUCCAUCGUUAUAAAUGUUGUGACUUGUAUAACCAUCUUCAUGUAUAUCUAGUAAUUAUCAAUAUCAUUUCACAAUGGGGUAGUGACCCUAUUUUCACUAGCUACAAUAAAUUUUAUUUUAAAAAUACAUUUAUAAUACUUUCAAACUGAUAUUCACGCAUCAUUCAAUUAUGCUCCUCAUGACUAGGGCAAAUCUGGAAAGCACAAUAGAAUAAAUAAUUUCACAUGCAUAAUAAAUUCACAAAAUAAUAGGUGAUUUAGACUACUGGGUAUGUAUAAAUCUGAAUGUGUUGAUAGUCCUAAUGAAUAAUGAAAUUCCAUUUUUAAAAUUACCGUUUUUAUUCAUAACUCACCAUUGAUCACAUGAUUGAAAAAAUACCAUCUCUUUGAUCAAAUAUAAAAAGAUACUUUGGUAACAAACAUAAAUUAAUAAGUAGAAUUGCUGUAUGGGUAAUAAAGAAAUGCACAUACUAUUGUUCUUACUUGUCAAAACUAGCUGGAAGUAAAAUUUGGCGAAAACAUUUCUUUAGGUAAGAUUUUGGUUUCUAUUCAUCACAAUAUUUAAUUAGUUACCAUAAACUGGGGUGCAAUGAGUGAGAUGCUAUUAUGACAUGGAGCAAAGAUUAUUUUUGUUCAGCUAAAACUGAGAGACAUUAGUUGCACAACUGCAGAGUGAUUAUUCACAAAAUUUUGGUAGAAUGGUAAAUUUGAUCAAACAUGCGAUUUUGUAAUUAUUAUGCUAGGUCUAGGCAAUUUCUUCCACAAAAACAUGUGAUAAUAGCAAGAGAAAACACAAUGUGUUACAUCACUUGAGGCUCAAAAUGCUAAAUAAGUACAUCUAAUUACUUCAGAAUAUCCCAUACAUGCACAAAACAUUAACUUCUUGUGAGUUUAUUAGCAAAUAGUACCAGAAGCAAAACCUCAAACCAUUGAGAGAUGCAGUCAGGCUCUGCAAUCGCAUAUACAUUUUUUAUUGGUGUUAGGUCCCAUCUGCCGAACCCCUUAGAAACCAUCAGGAAUAUAUGACGCUUUGCAUCCUCCAUUCGUACAUUAAAGUUAUAUUUUCUAAAAAGGACAUCCUAGGCUACUAACCUUUCGUAAAUAAUGUCAGAUGUUGUCACAAAAGGUUGGGUUAUGCCACAUGAUGACUCAUUUACCUGAUCGGCCGAGUGAGCUAAAUAUUAAUCAUACUGAACUUUGAAAGACUAACUAUAAAGGCCACUGGAUAUUUUCGAGUUCUCGGGCAGGAUACUUUCUUAUUGUUCAACUCUCAUGACUAAACUUCAAGAACUGAAUAUUCAAAUUUCAGUAUUCAUAAAUUACAUAUAUAUUUUAAACACAUUUCAAUCAACACACAUUAAUAUUUCAAAUUGAAAUGAAUGAAACCAUACAAGAUAUGAAAUAAAUUAAAGAAUAUAUACAACCACAUCCAAAUUAUGAAAAAAAAAUGUAUCAAUGUCGCCUUGUACAUGUAAUAAGGAAGUACUUUGAGGUGGCUUGUACCGUACAGACUCAAAGCAAAGAACUAUCAAUAAAAUAAUUCUGCAAAAAAUUGAAGAUAUCAUAAAUGCAGACAGAAGAAAUGAACACAGAAUAAUCAACUUUCAAGAGUGAUACCCGAAUCUUGCAAUCAAUAGCAACUAGCAAAUCAAUUUUAGGUCCAUAAGGAAAACAAUACAACCAAUCAAUCCACAUUGAAUCAAGAUCACAAUGUAGGUUAUUGUUUUCAACAAUUUUCAUUACCCUUGACAGCUUAGAAGCUGCUCUUUCAAACUCUGUAUAGGUCAUUGUGGCAAACACAUGGGCCCAUAUUCUGAAGUCGGGUUUAACUUAGACCAUGGUCUACAAUACAUGUAACUGCUGAAAUUAUGGGAAAUGCUUCAAAAUUUUGUUUACAGUGAAUGCUUCUCAUGUUAACUGUGCUCUACUAUUUUUUCUUUAAUGGUGAAGACUAUCGCAUACUUAUCCUUCCCAGGCAGUUAAUAAUGUUUUGGGAGGCAAAUGAGCUGAUACAUAGUACCUCUACUGUUAGUGAUGUAUGUAACAACUGGCUUUUCAUAGUUAAACCACAACUUAAAGCCAGAGUUUAAAAUAAACACGACUUCAGAAUACGGGCCAUGGGAUCUGAGAUAGGCUAGUCUGCAGGCACAGACCCUCAUUGGAACUUUGAUCAACAAGUGUGCCUCCACGCAAAGACUAGCACACACAAAACUUGCCGUUCUCGGGCCUUCACAAGGCAUGAGUAGGCUGCACAUUCAGACCCUUAUUUCGAGUGAAGGGUUUGCCCAGCAGACUAGAGAUAGGCAGUCAUAUUCGGUCCAAGUUUGUUCCCAUGUCAGACAGAGGUUUAUGCACAGAUGGUGUCCACAAACUGCUUCAUAGAAUGAUAGAUAAUUCAUGAACACAGGAUUCUCGGCAAUUAAAAAGAAAAAAAACCUGACUGGUGUUUACUAAGAUCAAAUUUCCUUUAUUGAUAUUUUCCUAUUGCCUUGCAAUAUCUCUGUUAGACGACAACGACAAGGGAACCGAUGAGUUGCCAUGCUGUAUUGUCAUGCUUUAAUGUAAAGUGAAUUAUUUGACAACCCCAAAUUUUGUUAAAAGUAGUAAGCAAUACCAGUAUUAUACUUUCAACUUUAGGGCUUAGCCAAUAAUGUUGUUCCACCAAACAAUCCUUGGCCUGCUAUGGGCACUAUCAGGUUAAGGAAUGCAGAUAAUGAUUGUGCAAUACAAUGCCAAGCGACGAAUGUACACAGCAUUACAUAACCUCUAUUGGGGAUUCUACUCUCAGUGACACCUGCUACCUGAUUAACACUCCUAUUAAUGUCAAAUUCCACAUGAAAGAUGACAUUACACAGCAUCUACCUGUAAAAAUACUUUGGGAAUCACCUGGAAUGUAACAGGACUACAGAAGUAUACAUGUACAUUUUCAAUUAGAUUUGAACAAGGGUAUAUAUGAUCUUUAAUCCUAUCUAGGCCGGGGUAUUUUGGGAGUUCAUAUGGC
RNAcentral lists this long non-coding RNA (3131 nucleotides) under Lytechinus variegatus (green sea urchin). RNAcentral describes it as "uncharacterized LOC121428799". Lineage: Eukaryota; Metazoa; Echinodermata; Echinoidea; Temnopleuroida; Toxopneustidae. The record is from RNAcentral.